GGUAACGUAGCUUAGCAGGUAGAGCGUCAACUUCAUAAGUUGAAAAGCACUGGUUCGAUUCCAGUCGUUACCA
Molecule: transfer RNA, 73 nt
Filed under: marine sediment metagenome
Description: tRNA-Met
Rfam family: tRNA
About the family: Transfer RNA (tRNA) molecules are approximately 80 nucleotides in length. Their secondary structure includes four short double-helical elements and three loops (D, anti-codon, and T loops). Further hydrogen bonds mediate the characteristic L-shaped molecular structure. tRNAs have two regions of fundamental functional importance: the anti-codon, which is responsible for specific mRNA codon recognition, and the 3' end, to which the tRNAs corresponding amino acid is attached (by aminoacyl-tRNA synthetases). tRNAs cope with the degeneracy of the genetic code in two manners: having more than one tRNA (with a specific anti-codon) for a particular amino acid; and 'wobble' base-pairing, i.e. permitting non-standard base-pairing at the 3rd anti-codon position.
Source: RNAcentral